Molecule: long non-coding RNA, 626 nt
Filed under: Bemisia tabaci
Lineage: Eukaryota; Metazoa; Arthropoda; Insecta; Hemiptera; Aleyrodidae
Description: lncRNA ENSSSA3NGG008627
Source: RNAcentral
AUGAUGCGAUCGCACCGGCGUGAAACGGGUUCUUUUCGAGUUUCAGUGCUGACGUUGCGUGUCGCCAUCAACAGCCGAGAUGCGCACCUACACCCUCCUCCUCGCCCUUUGGUCAUCUUAGGCGCAGCUGUCAUCGCUCACCCCGCCAAUGACGACACAGGAAAGGAGACGACCAAACCGAGAAAAUCUGAUGACGACAUAGGAAAGGAUACGACCAAACCGAGAAAAUCUGAUGACGACUCAGGAAAGGAGACGACCAAACCAGCAAAAUCUGAUGACGACUCAAGAGGACCAACUUUCUUUCCUGCAACCUCGGACCCUAGGAAGACUGAUGACGGCACGGGAAAGGAUGUGACCAAACCGGCAAAAUCUGACAACUCCGAGGAAAAGGAGGUGACCAAACCAACGAAACUUGAUGAUAGCGGCAAAGAUAAAGAUAAAGAGAACAACGGCAAAGAUAAAGAUAAAGACGUUACAAACGCCAACCCGGAUAAAACUACGAUCAGACCAGAAAGCGGAGAAAAUAAUAAGAAUGACACGAUUGCUAUAUCGAGGACCUUGCUAAGCAACUUAGUCAACAGUAUAGCUGAGAUUAGUUCUGGAGUAUUUGCAGCAAUUGGAUAGAC